AUUUGGCGGACGGGUGAGUAACAUUUAGGAAUCUGCCUAGUAGGGGGGGAUAGCUCGGGGAAACUCGAAUUAAUACCGCAUACGACCUACGGGUGAAAGGGGGCGCAAGCUCUUGCUAUUAGAUGAGCCUAAAUCAGAUUAGCUAGUUGGUGGGGUAAAGGCCCGCCAAGGCGACGAUCUGUAACUGGUCUGAGAGGAUGAUCAGUCACACCGGAACUGAGACACGGUCCGGACUCCUACGGGAGGCAGCAGUGGGGAAUAUUGGACAAUGGGGGCAACCCUGAUCCAGCCAUGCCGCGUGUGUGAAGAAGGCCUUUUGGUUGUAAAGCACUUUAAGCAGGGAGGAGAGGCUAAUGGUUAAUACCCAUUAGAUUAGACGUUACCCGCAGAAUAAGCACCGGCUAACUCUGUGCCAGCAGCCGCGGUAAUAAUC
RNAcentral lists this ribosomal RNA (433 nucleotides) under uncultured Enhydrobacter sp. RNAcentral describes it as "bacterial SSU rRNA". It matches the Rfam family "Bacterial small subunit ribosomal RNA", at positions 93 to 526 of the family's 1533-position model. The record is from RNAcentral. Lineage: Bacteria; Pseudomonadati; Pseudomonadota; Alphaproteobacteria; Hyphomicrobiales.